AUGGGUGUUUUACGUAUAAAUACUAUUUUUGCUUAUUUUGACGAUCCCCGAUACAGAAAAGAUAAAAAGGGUUCAGGAAUUGUUAAAUUUAGAUAUAGGACCCAAGAAGAAGAAUAUAGGACUCGAGCGGAAGACUCAGAAGACGAAUACAGGACCCGAGAGGACGAAUAUGAAUAUGGAACCCUAGCAGAAUCUAAAUAUGGAAUCCUAGAAGACGAAUACAAAUAUGAAACCCUAGAAGACGAAUAUGGGAGCCCAGAAAACGAAUAUGGGAACCCAGAGAACGAAUAUAGGACUUUAGAGAAGGACUCAGAAGAGGAAUAUGGGAGCCCAGAGAGAAAAUAUAGGACCCAAGAGGACGAAUAUGGAACUCUAGAGGAAGACUCACAAGACGAAUAUGGCAGCCCCGGGGAAAGCGCAGAAGAAAAAUAUGGUACUUUAGAGGAAGACUCAGAAGAAGAUUCAGAGGAUGAAUACGAGAGCCCAGAGGAAGAUUCCAUCUUAAAAAAAGAGGGUUUGAUUGAGCAUCGAGGAACAAUAGAAUUUAGUCUAAAAUACCAAAAAGAAGUAGAUCGGUUUUUUUCAUUCUUCAAGAACUUCAUAUCUUGCCGAGAUCUUCAUCCCUAA
This 627-nucleotide ribosomal RNA is filed under the name Triticum aestivum (bread wheat). Its description in RNAcentral is "partial small subunit ribosomal RNA". The record is from RNAcentral. Lineage: Eukaryota; Viridiplantae; Streptophyta; Magnoliopsida; Poales; Poaceae.